GAGGAGAGUGAGGACAGUUCCAGCACUAGAAGGAAAGUUCAAAGGGUGUGGGAGACAUCCUAUUGUGGUCCUGCAUGGAUUCAAGCUGAGCCAAUCACGAAGACAAAAGAUAGAAGGAGUUUAAUUUGGUUCGGACUCGGUUUGGACCCACCAGACUGACAUGGAGUAAAAAUAGCAUAACUCCUCCAUAUGAAGUCGGAUUGGGGUGAGUAAAUAGUCAUUAGAAAGCUUAUUUCAUAAACUUUCAAACAGAUCUGGCCCUUCUAUCAUAUUCAUUCUGAGGAGGGUACAAUCAUCAGAGCAAGGCGUCGGUUGUAAUUUGGGUUUUCUGUUUUGUAACAUAGUCGAGUCCAAGUCGGCUCGAAACUAUUGUAGAGUUAUAUAUAACCACAUACACGACCUGAGAGGUCAGACCACAUUUAUUAUUCAUCAAAACUUGCAGCAUA
This 446-nucleotide long non-coding RNA is filed under the name Setaria viridis. Its description in RNAcentral is "long non-coding RNA (SVIR_LNC004575)". The record is from RNAcentral. Lineage: Eukaryota; Viridiplantae; Streptophyta; Magnoliopsida; Poales; Poaceae.